This 115-nucleotide ribosomal RNA is filed under the name uncultured bacterium. RNAcentral's name for it is "partial 16S ribosomal RNA". It matches the Rfam family "Bacterial small subunit ribosomal RNA", at positions 1370 to 1482 of the family's 1533-position model. The record is from RNAcentral.
UUCCCGGGGCCUUGUACACACCGCCCGUCACACCACGAAAGUUGGCAAUACCCGAAGCCGGUGGCCUAACCCGCAAGGGAGGGAGCCGUCGAAGGUAGGGUCGAUGAUUGGGGUG